CCAGUUCUCUGCAAUUCUGGAUCUCACUCACCCGUGCGCACCAACCCACGACUCCAGCAGUUGUGUUUCAUCUCCUUUCACACUCAAGAUUUUUUUUCGGCUUCUUGAACAGAGUGGUGGUGUUACUUUUAGAGUUCUGGCUCAAGGU
Long non-coding RNA from Juglans regia (Persian walnut), 148 nucleotides. RefSeq lists it as uncharacterized. The transcript has 3 exons. The record is from RefSeq and is a predicted model, not a curated record. NCBI's taxonomy places the organism in Eukaryota, Viridiplantae, Streptophyta, Magnoliopsida, Fagales, Juglandaceae.